AGGAGGAGGAGGAGGAGGAACCGGAUGUUAACCCUCCGCACGGGGGGAGGAGGAGGAGGAGGAAGGCUACCCGGGAGGGCCCAUUGAAACGUCUGUGCUGAUUUCCUACCACGAGCACGUCGCUCGACUUGUCUGGGCGGGAGAGGAGAGACAGACUUUAAAACAGGUGAACCACGCCCGGAAGAUUUUCGGUCUCUUUAAAUCAGAGGCAGUGGUUUAACGACGCGGUGACAACUUCAGGGCUAGGUGGGUUGUGCAUGACCGGGUAUUCCACCAUCAUCCACGACAUGCAGGGGGCCUUUGUGGAGCGGUGGCACAGGGAGACUUCUUCUUUCCAUUUACCGGUUGGGGAGAUGACGAUCACCUUGCACGAUGUGCAUUGCCUUCUCCACCUGCCGAUUAGGGGGAUGCUGCUGGACCAUUCCCGGAUCUAGAGGGUCGAUGCCAUCGAUUGGAUGAGCAUCUAUUUGGGUAUGGACCAGAUAUGGCUGAUUAUGAGUGCUAGACGACAAAUGGGUCUCAUAUCCGGUUCUCCACAUUGAGCGAUUAUUUCGAGCACCACCUGGUGGCGGCGGACGAAUCUGAGGCCGCGGAGAACGGCCUAUUUAUGGAGUAUCCUUGUGUCUGCGCUCUCCGGUGCUGGUUCAUGUUUGUGGUAGGCGAUGCACUCUUUGUGGAUAAGAGUGCAAGGUACGUCGACGUGGCCUACCUCCGUUAUUUCAUGGACUUGACUAGCGUUCACCAGUGGAACUAUGGGUCAGCUAUUCUGGUAUAUCUAUACUAGAAGCUGAAUGAGGCCUCCAGCUGGAGGACCAGGCAGCUGAACGGAUCCUGCACAAUCCUGAUGGGCUGGAUCAUCUCCUACUUCCGCCCCCCCCCCCGCAUCCACGUUGAUCCUGCGUACGAGGACGCCAUGUCCAGGGCCGCCCGAUACGUUCUCAAGAGGGGAACAAUGCAGUGGGACGAUAACGUGGGUACCUCGACCGCACAGCUCACGAUGACAUCAGUUGGAGGCCAUUCAGUGACUACACUGCGGUUGUCGCCUUUGACCGCAUCUCAUUAUAUUCUGGCUGGUUGGCAUGCGGGACCAACACCAUGGUGAGGUAUCUCCCUGAGCGGUGCAUGCGGCAGUUCGGAUUUAUGCAGAUGAUACCCAGGUCACCUUUUGAGGAUGCUCCGGACACAGUCACCCGAGUGGAGCUCACUGGCAUAUUUGCGGAUUGGGAGUGUCAUGUGGUCCCGAAGGAGUAUCGUCGCAUGCAGGUCACCCAGGACUGGCACAGUGUGGAGGGGUAUGUCACAUGGUUCUAUCGGGUGUCACAUCCUCUGAUGACAGCCGACGCUCCCGGCGCUCCUAGGCCAGCAUACGAGGAGGUCCUGGAGAACCAGUAGGCCGAGGAUGACCAUGCCAUUGAUCUCAUACCGAUCUGCCAGCGGAUAGAGGUGCUUGGGCCGGACGCGUUGGACCGAGGUAUCAUUGAUCUGGGCAUUCCAGAGGCAGUCGUCGUGGUGGAGAGAAUGGUCGGUGAUGCGGCCCAUGCGACGACAUAUAGGAGGCAGAGGAGGUCCCCAGGAGUGAGGGUUAGGCAUACCCAGUAGGGGUUCGGAUUUAUUUUUCUUGUAUUCGGUAAAACAAUUUUAAUUUUUUUAAUUUUAUUUUUUAUCAUAUUUUGAAAAUAAAAGCAAACGCACGGGUAUCCUGCUAGUUGAUUAGAAAAAGGGAAGACUGAAUACUUUAUAAGUGAGAGAAUCCACACCUAUCAUC
Molecule: long non-coding RNA, 1765 nt
Organism: Vicia villosa (hairy vetch)
Lineage: Eukaryota; Viridiplantae; Streptophyta; Magnoliopsida; Fabales; Fabaceae
Exons: 3
Source: RefSeq, a predicted model, not a curated record